Molecule: small nuclear RNA, 107 nt
Organism: Myotis daubentonii (Daubenton's bat)
Lineage: Eukaryota; Metazoa; Chordata; Mammalia; Chiroptera; Vespertilionidae
Source: RefSeq, a predicted model, not a curated record
GUGCUCGCUUCUGUAGCACAUAUACUAAAAUUGGAACGAUACAGAGUAGAUUAGCAUGGCCCCUGUGCAAGGAUGAUACACAAAUUCAUGAAGCAUUUCAUAUUAAA